UUUGCAGUUUUGAAUGACAUGAGUGUGAAGUGAGAAAUGAGGAAAUCAGCUGAUCCGAGGCAAAGUUGCAUGCCUGAGUUAUCAAUGAACUAUUCCCAAAUUUCGGUGAAAAAACUGGAGUUAAAUCUAGGGUUAAAGUUCAGGUCCAUUUUGUACAAGUGGGUACAUGUACAUAUGCAUUUCACAUCUUUUUCAAGAGAACAGUGCAAGUUUACAUGUAUUUCUACACUGUACUGUGCAUGUGUAUCCGCACAACAAAGUACAUGUACAUAUAGGUCUCGUACUGGCGGUCUGGGUUUGUUUCCUCCAAGAAAUUACAGUCCUGCUUAUUAGACACAGGAAAACGUCGAUUAGGUUAUCCUAACAUCCAUAAAAUUUAAAACAUCUCUUUCUUCCCACUCCCUCGAAAAGAAAUAACAACAUGCCGAUGGCCAACAUCAGCAAAUUUCAACCAUCAUAAAUCCAAUUUCUAUGACAGGGCUACAAUACUUAUGUGGACAGCUGAGAAGUGAAACCAGUAUUCACAUUGGCUUUGGGCCACAUCCAAAUGUCACAUGCAGAUCGCUGUGCUUUGGACUUCCCAGCCGCAGAAUUAUUAUGAAGGAAAGUGCCGAACCUUUCCGGUGAAGUCUUGUGAAAGUCCGGAGCACUGAUCAGCCCUUCCCUGAGAGCACUCUGGAGUUUCAACGCCAAAUCUCACUCACACUGACAUCACAAGACCCAUGGAUGUCAGUCAUUUUUUAGGGGAGGGGGGGAUCAAGGUUUCCCCGAUGAUCAAGAAGUUCUUCAGGUCUACCCUUGAUCUCAGAAUUGUUUGGUAAGGUCCUUGAGUAAGGUAACUCAUCUUAUUCCGUAAGUAAGAAGAUAAACAAGAAACGAAACAAAAUCUAGUCCAAAUACCAAUGUUUACAAUGUUUAAAAUUGAUUUGGAGUUGUUAGUUAAAUAAUACAAUAUGUGAUCACCAAUAUUCAAGAACAUGUACAUUUUACAUGGAAUGAACAUGUACAUGUAUACCGGUACAGUACACACAAGUCCCAUUAAUAAGUACAAUUAUACAAGUUAUUGUAUGCAAAUAUACAUUUCAUAUAUUUUUACACAAGAUUACAGCCCAUGACAAAACAAUUUCUGCUGGUAUUGCAUUGUGAAUGGCUUGUUAAGGAACUUCUCAAUCGUUGAACUUUCUCUCAGCAACACGUGCAGGCCUUAUAGCCUGGACAAUUCAUGGGAAUUCUCACAGACAGGGUUUAAUAUUUUGUUUCCGGCCAAUGAAAAAAAGUGUGCAUCCACAGUUCAAAUGUCGCCGUGAGUUAACAAUUGCACGGUUUGCGGCAUGAGCGUAUGUGUACUCCCUUGAAGUUUUGCCAAAACCCCAGGUACACGUCUUUUCCAAUUAUACCGGUGACCUCUGAAUGCCCCCAACAAGAGCCACUCAAAUGUUAGCCACGGGUGUCUUUUGAGCGCCUCUGAUAAGAUAAGAGUGUUUUGAAUUCCUUUUGCUGGCUAUGUGAAACAUUAUCCCCCAAAACCUUACGGGUAUUUUCCUCUCCAGUGCCAAACAUGAUCAUUACACAUGCUUCCUUUUUGGCUAAUCCUUGAUUUCCACACAAAUACGUGAUUCGCCUCUUCAAGAAUAGGAAAACGAUCAGUGUGUAUGUACUUUCAUAAACUGCAGAAAAUGAGGAGUAAAUCAGGAGCAAACCCUCUUGGUUACGUGUACGAUGUACGUGCAAGGCCAAAAUGUGCUUUUUUGUCUGUUACAUGUAGUUUAACUGCUUGGUUGAGCGUAAAUUAAAGUACGCACAUCCAAGCAAUAGCCAUUUUUUU
Molecule: long non-coding RNA, 1825 nt
Filed under: Acanthaster planci (crown-of-thorns starfish)
Lineage: Eukaryota; Metazoa; Echinodermata; Asteroidea; Valvatida; Acanthasteridae
Description: uncharacterized LOC110977097
Source: RNAcentral